Molecule: non-coding RNA, 353 nt
Organism: Pelodiscus sinensis (Chinese soft-shelled turtle)
Lineage: Eukaryota; Metazoa; Chordata; Testudines; Trionychidae
Source: RefSeq, a predicted model, not a curated record
GUUUCAUAAGUUUGUUUCCUCCCUAGCCACAAUGCUACUGGUAUGGUUUGCCUGGCUGUCCAAGGAACUUGAGCCCGGUUUGUGGAACUGAUGGGCGCACAUAUCCCAAUGAGUGUGUGCUUUGCCUUGCCAACAGGGAAAAUAGUAGAGAUGUCAAAAUUAGAUGGAAGGGAUACUGCUAAUUGGUAGUAUUAAAUUUUGAAGAAUAUGCAACAGAUGAAAGCCAAUCUGAAGAGAAAUGUCUUAAAUUUGCCUGCUAAGUAGUUUUAUCUUAAACAUGCAUAUUUUGUUCUUAUACCACUUUUGAAUAGACCUAAUGCCAUUAUUUUAUUAAAAUUGUAGCUGUUUAUGAA